This is a long non-coding RNA of Rosa chinensis, 283 nucleotides long. RefSeq lists it as uncharacterized. The record is from RefSeq and is a predicted model, not a curated record. The transcript has 4 exons. Lineage: Eukaryota; Viridiplantae; Streptophyta; Magnoliopsida; Rosales; Rosaceae.
CCUGUCUCCGCCAGUCCACCUCUCCGGUCUCCGAGCUCCGCCUUCAGGCUCCAGAUGGGGACCGCAGCUAGACCAAGCUACUUACAAGAACUGUCAGCGUCUUUAUCUUUCCGAACAGUUGUCAAACCUAGGGUUGCAGCUGCAGAGCACAUAUCACAGUUCAAUGAAGAAGCACGCUCUCCUUUUGUAAAGAAGUAUAAAACUAUAAUACAUCCUGGAGAGGUAUGCAAUACAUCAAAAGUAACUUUGUUUAUAGUCUUUUCUUGUUGAUAAGUCUGCAGGA